UGAGUAACGGCGAGCGAAAGGGAGAGUCCAGCGCCGAAUCCCGCACUAUUGUGGUGCUGGGAAAUGUGGCGUUUGGGAGUGAGCGUACCGGCGGUCGAACCGGCAGCAAGUCCCCCUGACCGGGGCUCUUUCCCAAAGUGGGUGCCAGGCCCAUAGCUGCAGGAUCGCUGCCGGUUGCGAUCUCCUUGGAGUCGGGUUGUUUGGGAGUGCAGCCCUAAUCGGGAGGUAAACUCCUCCUAAGACUAAAUACCGCCGUGAGACCGAUAGCAAACAAGUACCGUGAGGGAAAGUUGCAAAGAACUUUGAAGAGAGAGUUCAAGAGUACGUGAAACUGCUCAGAGGAAAACGGGUGGGCCCUCGAAAUCCUGUGGCGGGAGGAUUCAGUCGAGCGGAACGGAGGAGCGUGCCUUUAGAAAUCAGAGUGGGACCCUUCCCGGGCCAAUAGGUGCGCUACCGAUUCCGAUCCAUCGACGCAUUUCUUUCCCGCCCGAAGGACGCCGCAACCGGUUGGCGGAGCGSCCUUGAGUGUGCAUGCCGGCAGUUGGCCGGUGGUACCGUUUAGUUACGGUUGUCCGCCGGUUGUUAGCCUUUGCGCWCGGGCCGAGCCCCGACCGUGGUCACAGGGGCCCUUGAUGGGCCCGAGUC
This 645-nucleotide ribosomal RNA is filed under the name Metellina merianae. RNAcentral describes it as "partial 28S ribosomal RNA". It matches the Rfam family "Eukaryotic large subunit ribosomal RNA", at positions 80 to 514 of the family's 3401-position model. Lineage: Eukaryota; Metazoa; Arthropoda; Arachnida; Araneae; Tetragnathidae. The record is from RNAcentral.